This 253-nucleotide ribosomal RNA is filed under the name uncultured bacterium. RNAcentral describes it as "partial 16S ribosomal RNA". It matches the Rfam family "Bacterial small subunit ribosomal RNA", at positions 524 to 776 of the family's 1533-position model. The record is from RNAcentral.
UACAUGGGGUGCAAACGUUGCUCGGAAUUAUUGGGCGUAAAGCGCGCGUAGGCGGUUUCUCAAGUCGGAUGUGAAAGCCCUCGGCUUAACUGAGGAAGUGCACCCGAAACUGAGUAGCUAGAGUACUAAAGAGGGUCGCGGAAUUCCCGGUGUAGAGGUGAAAUUCGUAGAUAUCGGGAGGAACACCGGUGGCGAAGGCGGCGACCUGGGUAGAUACUGACGCUGAGGCGCGAAAGCGUGGGGAGCAAACAGG